RNAcentral lists this ribosomal RNA (507 nucleotides) under uncultured bacterium. Its description in RNAcentral is "bacterial SSU rRNA". It matches the Rfam family "Bacterial small subunit ribosomal RNA", at positions 19 to 518 of the family's 1533-position model. The record is from RNAcentral.
CUGGCUCAGGAUGAACGCUAGCGGCAGGCUUAACACAUGCAAGUCGAGGGGCAUCGGGAGUAGCAAUACUUGCCGGCGACCGGCGCAAGGGUGCGUAACGCGUGAGCAACAUGCCCGUAUCAGGGGGGAUAAUCCAUGGAAACGUGGUCUAAUACCCCAUAGUAAUUAUGUAAGGCAUCUUAUAUAAUUUAAAGCUUUGGUGGAUACGGAUUGGCUCGCGUGACAUUAGCUGGAUGGUAAGGUAACGGCUUACCAUGGCUACGAUGUCUAGGGGUUCUGAGAGGAAGGUCCCCCCACACUGGAACUGAGACACGGUCCAGACUCCUACGGGAGGCAGCAGUGAGGAAUAUUGGACAAUGGAUGGAAAUCUGAUCCAGCCAUGCCGCGUGCAGGAAAGACGGCCCUAUGGGUUGUAAACUGCUUCUGUAUGGGAGCAAUAAGGGCUACGUGUAGUCCGAUGAGAGUACCAUACGAAUAAGCACCGGCUAACUCCGUGCCAGCCGCCGC